CCUACGGGAGGCAGCAGUGAGGAAUAUUGGUCAAUGGGAGAGAUCCUGAACCAGCCAAGCCGCGUGAGGGAAGACGGCCCUAUGGGUUGUAAACCUCUUUUGUCGGAGAACAAAACCCGGGACGUGUCCCGGACUGCGUGUAUCCGAAGAAAAAGCAUCGGCUAACUCCGUGCCAGCAGCCGCGGUAAUACGGAGGAUCCGAGCGUUAUCCGGAUUCAUUGGGUUUAAAGGGUGCGUAGGUUGUUUUAUAAGUUAGCGGUGAAAUACCGAUGCUCAACAUCGGGGCUGCCGCUAAUACUGUAGGACUAGAGAUCGGAUGCAGCAGGCGGAAUGUGUAGUGUAGCGGUGAAAUGCAUAGAUAUUACACAGAACACCGAUUGCGAAGGCAGCUUGCUAGGCCGGAUCUGACACUGAUGCACGAAAGCGUGGGGAUCGAACAGGAUUAGAUACCCUUGUAGUC
RNAcentral lists this ribosomal RNA (460 nucleotides) under uncultured bacterium. RNAcentral describes it as "partial 16S ribosomal RNA". It matches the Rfam family "Bacterial small subunit ribosomal RNA", at positions 338 to 795 of the family's 1533-position model. The record is from RNAcentral.